UACGAAGGGGGCUAGCGUUGUUCGGAAUUACUGGGCGUAAAGCGUAUGCAGGCGGCCUUCUAAGUCGAACGUGAAAUCCCCGGGCUCAACCCGGGAACUGCGUCCGAUACUGGAAGGCUUGAAUCCGGGAGAGGGAUGCGGAAUUCCAGGUGUAGCGGUGAAAUGCGUAGAUAUCAGGAGGAACGCCUGUGGUGUAGACGGCUCUCUGGACCAUUAUUGACACUGAGGUACGAAAGCGUGGGUAGCAAACAGG
This 253-nucleotide ribosomal RNA is filed under the name uncultured bacterium. Its description in RNAcentral is "partial 16S ribosomal RNA". It matches the Rfam family "Bacterial small subunit ribosomal RNA", at positions 524 to 776 of the family's 1533-position model. The record is from RNAcentral.